AUAAUGGAAAAUGGGGGCCAACCUGAUCCAGCCCUGCCGCGUGUGUGAAGAAGGUCUUCGGAUUGUAAAGCACCUUAAGUUGGGGGGGAGGGCUUUAGGUUAAUAACCUUAAGUUUUGACCUUAACAACCGAAUAAGCAACGGCCAAACCUGUGCCCGCAGCCGCGGUAAUACAGAGGGUGCAAGCGUUAAUCGGAAUUACUGGGCGUAAAGCGCGCGUAGGUGGUUCAGUAAGAUGGGUGUGAAAUCCCCGGGCUUAACCUGGGAACUGCUUUCAUAACUGCUGAGCUAGAGUACGGUAGAGGGUAGUGGAAUUUCCCGUGUAGCGGUGAAAUGCGUAGAUAUAGGAAGGAACACCAGUGGCGAAGGCGACUACCUGGACUGAUACUGACACUGAGGUGCGAAAGCGUGGGGAGCAAAC
RNAcentral lists this ribosomal RNA (420 nucleotides) under uncultured bacterium. RNAcentral's name for it is "partial 16S ribosomal RNA". It matches the Rfam family "Bacterial small subunit ribosomal RNA", at positions 361 to 773 of the family's 1533-position model. The record is from RNAcentral.